CCUCAAUGAUGAUUUUACUCCGAAUAUCAGUCAAUUGAGAGGACGAAUCCGCAUGCCGAAGAACCUCGAUUUGGAACAUCAAAUCAAACCCCGGCUCCGGCAUGCAUCCCUUUUACCGUCUUCCAAUGACCUCAAGAUAAAAUCGCGCAGAACAGACAUUACACGAACAAAAAUCUGCCAAGAGCAGUGAACCAACAAAUAUCCAAAUUUUACCAGAAAAAGACGUAUGGCCGGAACUCCAGAGCCCAGACGGCGGCAAAAUUGAUGAAAGAGGGUCGGAUUCUGGUGACAGGGAGUGUUUUCCGGUGAGAUUUCACUGUUUGACUGAUCCCUAUCAUUUUCAGUCCAUUUUGAAAACCCUUUUCUCCUUACUAUGCGUGUACGUUUUUGGGCGGGUGUGUGUGUACUAUGCGUCGACGGCGGUGUUCUUUUCGGUGAGUAUCGAUCCAUCUCAGUGCAAGCAACUACUUGUGAGAUAUAUGUUUGGGGAUACGUACUAUGGUGAUGAAUUUCAUGAGUGUGUCCACGUUAUCCAGAAAAGAAAAAUGAGAAAGAUGGAGUGUUUCCUCUCUAUCUCCUUCACUAGUGAGGAUGAGUGUUAAUAUCCAUGAGCCCCUCAGUGAAUUUUCCCGUGAGAGUAUUAUCUCUUGCUAAUUGUGUGGGAGUGUGAAUUUGUUGUGCUAUGGGGCAAUGAGUGUAUGUGAGGUGUCCUGUUGUGGAAGAAAAAAAUAGAAUCAAUCCGUGGGGCCCCUCCCUUAAUGGAAUUCUCUGUAUAUCCUCUCAAAAUGGAAUAUGGUCUUGUAUAUGUGUGGAGAGUGGACCAAAUCCCU
RNAcentral lists this long non-coding RNA (830 nucleotides) under Capsicum annuum. RNAcentral describes it as "long non-coding RNA (CANN_LNC018191)". The record is from RNAcentral. Lineage: Eukaryota; Viridiplantae; Streptophyta; Magnoliopsida; Solanales; Solanaceae.